CCUGGCUCAGGAUGAACGCUAGCGGCAGGCUUAACACAUGCAAGUCGAGGGGUAGAAGCAGCUUGCUGCUUUGAGACCGGCGCACGGGUGCGUAACGCGUAUACAAUCUACCUUUUACAGAGGGAUAGCCCAGAGAAAUUUGGAUUAAUACCUCAUAGUAUUUUCGAAUCGCAUGGUUUGUAUAUUAAAGUUCCAACGGUAAAAGAUGAGCAUGCGUCCCAUUAGUUAGUUGGUAAGGUAACGGCUUACCAAGACGAUGAUGGGUAGGGGUCCUGAGAGGGAGAUCCCCCACACUGGUACUGAGACACGGACCAGACUCCUACGGGAGGCAGCAGUGAGGAAUAUUGGACAAUGGGCGCAAGCCUGAUCCAGCCAUGCCGCGUGCAGGAAGAAGCAUCUAUGGUGUGUAAACUGCUUUUGCACAGGAAGAAACAACGCUACGUGUAGCGUCUUGACGGUACUGUGAGAAUAAGGAUCGGCUAACUCCGUG
This 490-nucleotide ribosomal RNA is filed under the name uncultured bacterium. Its description in RNAcentral is "bacterial SSU rRNA". It matches the Rfam family "Bacterial small subunit ribosomal RNA", at positions 18 to 507 of the family's 1533-position model. The record is from RNAcentral.